RNAcentral lists this ribosomal RNA (464 nucleotides) under uncultured bacterium. RNAcentral describes it as "partial 16S ribosomal RNA". It matches the Rfam family "Bacterial small subunit ribosomal RNA", at positions 28 to 507 of the family's 1533-position model. The record is from RNAcentral.
GACGAACGCUGGCGGCGUGCUUAACACAUGCAAGUCGAACGGAAAGGCCCUGCUUGCAGGGUACUCGAGUGGCGAACGGGUGAGUAACACGUGGGUGAUCUGCCCUGCACUUCGGGAUAAGCCUGGGAAACUGGGUCUAAUACCGGAUAGGAGCCAUUUUUAGUGUGAUGGUUGGAAAGUUUUUUCGGUGUAGGAUGAGCUCGCGGCCUAUCAGCUUGUUGGUGGGGUAUGGCCUACCAAGGCGGCGACGGGUAGCCGGCCUGAGAGGGUGGACGGCCACAUUGGGACUGAGAUACGGCCCAGACGCCUACGGGAGGCAGCAGGGGGGAAGAUUGCACAAUGGGCGCAAGCCGGAUGCAGCGACGCCGCGUGGGGGAUGACGGCCUUCGGGUUGUAAACUCCUUUCGCGAGGGACGAAGCUUUUUGUGACGGUACCUAGAUAAGAAGCACCGGCUAACUACGUG